This is a non-coding RNA of Ceratotherium simum simum (southern white rhinoceros), 1909 nucleotides long. The record is from RefSeq and is a predicted model, not a curated record. NCBI's taxonomy places the organism in Eukaryota, Metazoa, Chordata, Mammalia, Perissodactyla, Rhinocerotidae.
CUUAUCAUGGACACAUUUUCAUGACACUAAGUAGCCACAUUAUCAUUUUAAUGAUUGUACAGUAGUCCAUUAUAUGAAUUUAUCAUUAUUAAACCAAUUUCCUGCUAGUGGACAGUUAACUUCUUUUAUUGUUUUGCUAUUUAUUAUAUAUUAUAAACAGGGAUGCACUGCCCAUCCUUUUGAUACAUUUUGGUGUACUUGUUUGAUUAUUUCCUUCAGAUUCCUGGAAAAUAAACUGUUCGAUCAAGGUGUGUGCAAUUUGAGAUGUUGGUAGAUAUUGCCAAGUUACCCUCCAUUUGCCCGCCCGCCAUCAGUGUGUGAGGAUAGUAGAAGCUGUCGUUGGGUUAGUUGGGUGAAAUCACUAAUGGUUUAAGAAACUUUUUGUUUCCUCCAGUGACAGCGAGAGACAGGCUGACAUGAGAGAUUCGGCUGUGCCCUGCGCUAGAGAGCUUACUGGUAGAAGAAUUAAUCCCUGAAGAGACUGAAGUGAGUUUCAGGAUGGCCAAAGAGGAGCCCCCGAGUAUCUCAAAGGACUUGCAGGAGCUGCAAAGGAAGCUGUCUUUGUUGAUAGAAUCCAUCCAGAAUAACUCGGAGGUGGUAGCCCUUAUGAAGUCUCCAGUGGGGCAGUACCUGGACAAGCAUCCUUUUGUGACUCUUACCCUGCUGCUGUUUGCUGCUAUGUCGGCCAUUCCUGUUGGGCUCUUCCUGCUCCUCGUGGUGCUUACCUUCCUGGCCGCUUUUGUGGGAGUCAUAUUACUGGAAGGACUGGUCAUCUCUGUGGGCGGCCUCUCACUGCUUUGUGUCCUCUGUGGCUUGGGCUUCAUGUCGCUCAUCAUAUCGGGGACAAUCAUAGUGUCCUACAUGGUGGUCUCCAGCCUCGUCAACUACUGGUUUUCUCCCAGAAUCUGAGUCCAAGUGGAAUGUGACUCCAUUGUGCUUCAUUUAAGCUCUUGCUGAAUUGAUGAUAGUGGCUAAUACCCAUAGUGGCUAAUACCCAUCCAGCACUUGCUCUGCACCAGGGACUCCGUUAUGUACUUUCCAGGCCUUGGCUCAUGUAAUCCUCACAAGCACCCUCCGAGGCAGACCAUUGACACAACAAAACUCUAGUGGCGACUGUCAGCUGGCUAUGAAGACUUAGAGGGGUUCUACCAGGAAUGACUGGCUGAACGGAACCAGAGCUUUUUGCCAAGCACUUCUGGAAGGCUGUUGGAUCAUACACAGCCCUCAGGAUUGUGACUGAGAAGGGGGCCAGGUAGUCAAGCGCUCCUUGGAGGUGUCCUCUAGCCUUCUUCACUUGUUUGUAGGAUCCUGCAGUGGCUACCUUGGGGAUUUUGUUGCUCUUGUGUCAGUUCUGUGGGCUGAUCCACCCUCACUUGGAGAGUCUGCAGAGAGCUGCGGUGGCUCAUCAGCUCCUCCUGCCUCUCACCCCCUCCUCCCCAAAGAUGCAGACUUGACCUUGGGAGGAUCCUGAGCCUCUAGAGCCCAGCAGCUUGACCUCAAAGGCUCAGAUCUUGUAUCCAAGGGCCCAAUUUGGGGCAACUGUGGAUUGUUUUUUCUUUUUCUUUCUUUUUUUUUUAGAAACGAGAGAAGCUGUUUAUUUCUUCACUCAUUUGAAACAAGAGAACAAGACAUGGGGAAAAAAAAAUCCCAAACAGAGCAAGCUCUUCUGUGGUAUUAGCUUUUUGUCAGGAAGAAUAGCAACAUUUGGCAGUAAUGGCCUCUCAGACAAAGUUAGAAAAUAGAAUCCAAACUUAGCUUUAUGGCCAAGAGCAAUUUUUAAAAGUCUAAAGGUAUAGUUUCCACUGUUGAGUACUAUUUCAUGCUGUUACUCUUUUAAAUAUUUGCACUUGAUACUUUUGUAUUGUUUUAAAGAACUUGUCUUGUUAAGCCAUUUCUUUAAAAAGUCUUA